ACGAGCGGCGGACGGCUGAGUAACGCGUAGGAACCUACCCUAAAGUGAGGGAUAAGCACCAGAAAUGGUGUCUAAUACCGCAUGUGCUCUAAGGAGUAAAGCUACGGCGCUUUGGGAAGGGCCUGCGUAUGAUUAGCUUGUUGGUGAGGUAAUAGCUCACCAAGGCGACGAUCAUUAGCUGGUCUGAGAGGAUGAUCAGCCAGACUGGGACUGAGAACGGCCCAGACUCCUACGGGAGGCAGCAGUAGGGAAUCUUCCACAAUGGGCGAAAGCCUGAUGGAGCAACGCCGCGUGCAGGAUGAAUGCCUUAGGGUUGUAAACUGCUUUUAUAUGUGACGAUUAUGACGGUAGCAUAUGAAUAAGGAUCGGCUAACUCCGUGCCAGCAGCCGCGGUCAUACGGAGGAUCCAAGCGUUAUCCGGAAUUACUGGGCGUAAAGAGUUGCGUAGGUGGCAUAGUAAGCGGACAGUGAAAUCGUAUGGCUCAACCAUAUAUACAUUGUCUGAACUGCUAAGCUAGAGGACGAGAGAGGUACCUGGAAUUCCCAGUGUAGGAGUGAAAUCCGUAGAUAUUGGGAGGAACACCGAUGGCGUAGGCAGGGUACUGGCUUGUUCCUGACACUAAGGCACGAAAGCGUGGGGAGCGACCGGGAUUAGAUACCCCGUUAGUCCACGCCGUA
Molecule: ribosomal RNA, 678 nt
Filed under: uncultured bacterium
Lineage: Bacteria
Description: bacterial SSU rRNA
Rfam family: Bacterial small subunit ribosomal RNA
Source: RNAcentral